RNAcentral lists this long non-coding RNA (1191 nucleotides) under Numida meleagris (helmeted guineafowl). RNAcentral describes it as "lncRNA (ENSNMEG00000012303.1)". Lineage: Eukaryota; Metazoa; Chordata; Aves; Galliformes; Numididae. The record is from RNAcentral.
GGAGGUUCCAGCCAAGACCGGACGAUUGGGCUGCCACAACUUCAACCACAUUACUGAAAUUGCCUUCCUUCAUUCCCAGUUGCUUGGGAUGGCUUCUGACACUGUUUGGGAAGAAAAUAAGUGGCCCUUCUCAGAGCAGCUGCUGGGAUGCAGACUGAAGAAGCAGCUGGCCGGGACCGUACUCCACUUCUGCUCCCACGGGAGGUGUGGGUGCUGUCACCCCAAAACCACAAGAACUGGAGUGCACCAGUUUGUUCUACAGAAAAGAGACAAAGGUGUUGGCCCCAGCAAGCCCUGUGGCUGAAGAUCCACCAAUUGACCAUUGUUACCAGGCUGAUGCAGAUCAUUAGGCCUCUGCAAGUUUUUAUUCAUUCUCAGGAUAAAAUUUGCACUUCUGUUGCUAUUGUUAAGUAAUCACCAGACUCACGGAUAGGUGAGCACUGCAAAGCAUUACAGUAGAUAAGAUUACUAGGAGCUAUUAUUUCCUUUUUAAUAGCUUGGUCAGUAUUUUAUAACAAUGAAAAGGUUCCCCACUCAGCAAUAAUAAGCUGUAACUCUUGUAUGUAGCAGAAACUGUAAAUAUUGCAUUGCAUACAUACGUUUCUAGACGACAAGCAGAUUUAGAGAUUUGAGCAGGGUGAAAUACUGUUUCUAUCGGUGACAGCAUUAGCUUAAAUCCCGGAAGAUAUAUUCCAGAUGUUCUGUGCUAAUAGGAUUAUUUUAUAAAAUUGUAGACAGAUUUUAGAAGCAACACCCCAGUUAAGCACUUUGCGAUCCCCAUGUAGCUUUUAUUUAUUUAUUUAUUUCCAUCUGAAUUAAUGGUUCUUUGGUCUUGUGUUAGUUUCACCCAGUUGUCAUAGAUCACAAGAGAGCCAUCAUUUACUGGCAAGUGAUCACUUACUCAUUUAGAUUUCCAGGCCUCAUUAUAUAUUCAUGCUGAUUCAAAGGAAAUGCAAUGAAUUCUUUAGGUGGAGUCUCAGUAGACUGAGUGAUGAUUAUUUAUAACUUAGUAUAACAAAAGUGAUCUGUGCAGUUUGCAGAUACUCUCAAUUUUCACACAUGCAUGCACGCAUACACAUAUGGAGUGUGUAUUUUAUAAAUUUGUUGUUUGUGUUCAUACACAGAAACAACUAUGAUUCACAUGCUAAUAUCAAAGCUGAAGAAUAAAGCUGAAGAAUGUAAAGGCUGACA